GCUGUGUGACAACAAACUUGUCGGCACUGGAGUACUAAAUAUAUUGCACAUGUUCAUGCAUGUUCAACAUAUUUAGCACUCAAGUACCGAAAAAUGAACAACGAAACGAAAAAUAACACGAACAUCA
Drosophila melanogaster (fruit fly) is the source of this 127-nucleotide non-coding RNA. NCBI's taxonomy places the organism in Eukaryota, Metazoa, Arthropoda, Insecta, Diptera, Drosophilidae. The record is from Ensembl.